AUUGAACGCUGGCGGCAGGCCUAACACAUGCAAGUCGAGCGGAUGAAGGGAGCUUGCUCCUGGAUUCAGCGGCGGACGGGUGAGUAAUGCCUAGGAAUCUGCCUGGUAGUGGGGGAUAACGUCCGGAAACGGGCGCUAAUACCGCAUACGUCCUGAGGGAGAAAGUGGGGGAUCUUCGGACCUCACGCUAUCAGAUGAGCCUAGGUCGGAUUAGCUAGUUGGUGGGGUAAAGGCCUACCAAGGCGACGAUCCGUAACUGGUCUGAGAGGAUGAUCAGUCACACUGGAACUGAGACACGGUCCAGACUCCUACGGAAGGCAGCAGUGGGGAAUAUUGGACAAUGGGCGAAAGCCUGAUCCAGCCAUGCCGCGUGUGUGAAGAAGGUCUUCGGAUUGUAAAGCACUUUAAGUUGGGAGGAAGGGCAGUAAGUUAAUACCUUGCUGUUUUGACGUUACCAACAGAAUAAGCACCGGCUAACUUCGG
This 483-nucleotide ribosomal RNA is filed under the name uncultured bacterium. RNAcentral's name for it is "partial 16S ribosomal RNA". It matches the Rfam family "Bacterial small subunit ribosomal RNA", at positions 30 to 506 of the family's 1533-position model. The record is from RNAcentral.